ACCUAUUGCUGCCAACCUACCUACCGCUGCCAACCUACCUACUGCUGCUAAUCUAUCGCUGCUAAUCUAUCGCUGCUAAUCUAUCGCUGCUAAUCUAUCGCUGCUAAUCUAUCACUGCUAAUCUAUCGCUGCCAACCUACCUACCACUGCUAAUCUAUCACUACUGCCAAUCUAUAUAGAGUAAAUCAUGGUCCCAUUUGGUCCCAUUUUGUAAAAAUAGGGACUAGAAUCACUAAUUUAUUAGUAGAACAUGAUCUGAGACUAGAUUUAUAAUAUAAACAGUGUAAAGUGACUAAUUUACUAAACACUAUAUGAGACCAGGACUAAGAUAUCUAAUAAUGGAACCAAAGGAAAAUCUGGUCCCAGUCCCAUGCAUGGUCACACAGCC
Molecule: small RNA, 388 nt
Filed under: Histoplasma capsulatum
Lineage: Eukaryota; Fungi; Ascomycota; Eurotiomycetes; Onygenales; Ajellomycetaceae
Also listed under: 1 other name
Description: hypothetical RNA
Source: RNAcentral